Non-coding RNA from Penaeus vannamei (Pacific white shrimp), 820 nucleotides. Lineage: Eukaryota; Metazoa; Arthropoda; Malacostraca; Decapoda; Penaeidae. The record is from RefSeq and is a predicted model, not a curated record.
UUCCGGAGUCUAGCGCCCCGAGCGAGCUCUUCUUGGCAACGCUGAGAUUAACGCAGCUCCUUCUUUCUCCGGAGGUUCGGUCUCUCAUUAGGUCCGCGUGGAAACCUCACCACACAUUUUUUCGCCAUGGGUCGCAUGCACAGUGGAGGAAAGGGUAUUUCCCAGUCAUCCCUGCCAUACCGUCGCUCAGUCCCCAACUGGCUGAAGCUAACCAAGGAAGACGUCGAGGAACAGAUCAUCAAGCUCGCCAAGAAGGGCCUCACUCCCUCCCAGAUCGGUGUCCUGCUCCGAGAUAGCCAUGGUGUCGCCCAGGUGCGCUUUGUCACAGGCCAACAAGGUUCUGCGUGUGCUGAAGGCCAAGGUCUGGCUCCUGAUAUCCCUGAGGAUGUAUCACCUUAUCAAGAAGGCUGUUGCCAUCAGGAAGCAUCUUGAGAGGACAAGCUUCAUAGAGCCAGAAGACCGUGACGCCAAGUUCAGGCUUAUUCUUGUAGAGUCCCGUAUUCACCGUCUUGGCCGUUACUACAAGUCCCGUGCAGUCUUGGCCCCCAACUGGAAAUAUGAGUCAUCUACUGCCUCCGCUCUUGUUGCGGUCAAUAACCCCUUAACAAGACUGAAGGACUGUUGGGAUAUCUUUGGACCUCAGACCUCGGCUCAACCAAUUUUGAAGGUCUUUUAUUCCACUUCCUGUUCUCCAACCCCUUCUGUCCACUUCCAAAGAUGUGAAAGGGAUAAAAGGCUGGGUUUGGGUCAAGUUGUCGUUGCUCUCGUGGGGUGGGGGCUUAAGACACUGAGACAGGCCCAAUCACUUCAGAAUGUCUAA